UACGUAGGCAGCGAGCGUUGUUCGGAAUUACUGGGCGUAAAGAGUGUGUAGGCGGUGCUCUAAGUUCGGUGUGAAAUCUCCCGGCAUAACUGGGAGGGUGCGCCGGAAACUGGAGUGCUCGAGCGUGGGAGAGGAAAGCGGAAUUCCUGGUGUAGCGGUGAAAUGCGUAGAUAUCAGGAGGAACACCUGCGGUGUAGACGGCUUUCUGGACCAUUGCUGACGCUGAGACACGAAAGCGUGGGUAGCAAACAGG
This 253-nucleotide ribosomal RNA is filed under the name uncultured bacterium. Its description in RNAcentral is "partial 16S ribosomal RNA". It matches the Rfam family "Bacterial small subunit ribosomal RNA", at positions 524 to 776 of the family's 1533-position model. The record is from RNAcentral.